This 270-nucleotide ribosomal RNA is filed under the name uncultured Geobacillus sp. Its description in RNAcentral is "partial 16S ribosomal RNA". It matches the Rfam family "Bacterial small subunit ribosomal RNA", at positions 1110 to 1382 of the family's 1533-position model. The record is from RNAcentral. Lineage: Bacteria; Bacillati; Bacillota; Bacilli; Caryophanales; Anoxybacillaceae.
CUUAGUUGCCAGCAUUCGGUUGGGCACUCUAGAGGGACUGCCGGCGACAAGUCGGAGGAAGUGGGGAUGACGUCAAAUCAUCAUGCCCCUUAUGACCUGGGCUACACACGUGCUACAAUGGGCGGUACAAAGGGCUGCGAACCCGCGAGGGGGAGCGAAUCCCAAAAAGCCGCUCUCAGUUCGGAUUGCAGGCUGCAACUCGCCUGCAUGAAGCCGGAAUCGCUAGUAAUCGCGGAUCAGCAUGCCGCGGUCGAAUACGUUCCGGGCCUU